GACGAACGCUGGCGGCGUGCUUAACACAUGCAAGUCGAACGGUGAACCAGAGCUUGCUCUGGGGAUCAGUGGCGAACGGGUGAGUAACACGUGGGCAACCUGCCCCAGACUCUGGGAUAACCUCGGGAAACCGAUGCUAAUACCGGAUACGACCACUUCGGACAUCCGACGGUGGUGGAAAGUUUUUCGGUCUGGGAUGGGCCCGCGGCCUAUCAGCUAGUUGGUGGGGUAAUGGCCUACCAAGGCGACGACGGGUAGCCGGCCUGAGAGGGCGACCGGCCACACUGGAACUGAGACACGGUCCAGACUCCUACGGGAGGCAGCAGUGGGGAAUAUUGCACAAUGGGCGAAAGCCUGAUGCAGCGACGCCGCGUGAGGGACGACGGCCUCGGUUGUAACCGUACUUUCUAGCAGGACGAAGCGAAAGUAGACUGUACCUGCAGAAGAAGACACCGGCGUAACUACGUGCCAGCAGCCGCGGUAAACGUAGUGUGUA
This 496-nucleotide ribosomal RNA is filed under the name uncultured bacterium. RNAcentral describes it as "bacterial SSU rRNA". It matches the Rfam family "Bacterial small subunit ribosomal RNA", at positions 28 to 536 of the family's 1533-position model. The record is from RNAcentral.